Molecule: ribosomal RNA, 1441 nt
Filed under: uncultured organism
Description: partial small subunit ribosomal RNA
Rfam family: Bacterial small subunit ribosomal RNA
Source: RNAcentral
CGUGCUUAACACAUGCAAGUCGAACGGAAAGGCCCUGCUUUUGUGGGGUGCUCGAGUGGCGAACGGGUGAGUAACACGUGAGUAACCUGCCCUUGACUUUGGGAUAACUUCAGGAAACUGGGGCUAAUACCGGAUAGGAGCUCCUGCUGCAUGGUGGGGGUUGGAAAGUUUCGGCGGUUGGGGAUGGACUCGCGGCUUAUCAGCUUGUUGGUGGGGUAGUGGCUUACCAAGGCUUUGACGGGUAGCCGGCCUGAGAGGGUGACCGGCCACAUUGGGACUGAGAUACGGCCCAGACUCCUACGGGAGGCAGCAGUGGGGAAUAUUGCACAAUGGGCGGAAGCCUGAUGCAGCAACGCCGCGUGCGGGAUGACGGCCUUCGGGUUGUAAACCGCUUUCGCCUGUGACGAAGCGUGAGUGACGGUAAUGGGUAAAGAAGCACCGGCUAACUACGUGCCAGCAGCCGCGGUGAUACGUAGGGUGCGAGCGUUGUCCGGAUUUAUUGGGCGUAAAGGGCUCGUAGGUGGUUGAUCGCGUCGGAAGUGUAAUCUUGGGGCUUAACCCUGAGCGUGCUUUCGAUACGGGUUGACUUGAGGAAGGUAGGGGAGAAUGGAAUUCCUGGUGGAGCGGUGGAAUGCGCAGAUAUCAGGAGGAACACCAGUGGCGAAGGCGGUUCUCUGGGCCUUUCCUGACGCUGAGGAGCGAAAGCGUGGGGAGCGAACAGGCUUAGAUACCCUGGUAGUCCACGCUGUAAACGGUGGGUACUAGGUGUGGGGUCCAUUCCACGGGUUCCGUGCCGUAGCUAACGCUUUAAGUACCCCGCCUGGGGAGUACGGCCGCAAGGCUAAAACUCAAAGGAAUUGACGGGGCCCCGCACAAGCGGCGGAGCAUGCGGAUUAAUUCGAUGCAACGCGUAGAACCUUACCUGGGUUUGACAUGGAUCGGGAGUGCUCAGAGAUGGGUGUGCCUCUUUUGGGGUCGGUUCACAGGUGGUGCAUGGCUGUCGUCAGCUCGUGUCGUGAGAUGUUGGGUUAAGUCCCGCAACGAGCGCAACCCUUGUUCACUGUUGCCAGCACGUUAUGGUGGGGACUCAGUGGAGACCGCCGGGGUCAACUCGGAGGAAGGUGGGGAUGACGUCAAGUCAUCAUGCCCCUUAUGUCCAGGGCUUCACGCAUGCUACAAUGGCUGGUACAGAGAGUGGCGAGCCUGUGAGGGUGAGCGAAUCUCGGAAAGCCGGUCUCAGUUCGGAUUGGGGUCUGCAACUCGACCUCAUGAAGUCGGAGUCGCUAGUAAUCGCAGAUCAGCAACGCUGCGGUGAAUACGUUCCCGGGGCUUGUACACACCGCCCGUCAAGUCAUGAAAGUUGGUAACACCCGAAGCCGGUGGCCUAACCGUUGUGGGGGAGCCGUCGAAGGUGGGACUGGUGAUUAGGACUAAGUCAUAA